Molecule: ribosomal RNA, 468 nt
Filed under: uncultured bacterium
Lineage: Bacteria
Description: partial 16S ribosomal RNA
Rfam family: Bacterial small subunit ribosomal RNA
Source: RNAcentral
GACGAACGCUGGCGGCGUGCUUAACACAUGCAAGUCGAACGGAAAGGCCCUGCUUUUGUGGGGUGCUCGAGUGGCGAACGGGUGAGUAACACGUGAGUAACCUGCCCUUGACUUUGGGAUAACUUCAGGAAACUGGGGCUAAUACCGGAUAGGAGCUCCUGCUGCAUGGUGUGGGUUGGAAAGUUUCGGCGGUUGGGGAUGGACUCGCGGCUUAUCAGCUUGUUGGUGGGGUAGUGGCUUACCAAGGCUUUGACGGGUAGCCGGCCUGAGAGGGUGACCGGCGACAUUGGGACUGAGAUACGGCCCAGACUCCUACGGGAGGCAGCAGUGGGGAAUAUUGCACGAUGGGCGGAAGCCUGAUGCAGCAACGCCGCGUGCGGGAUGACGGCCUUCGGGUUGUAAACCGCUUUCGCCUGUGACGAAGCGUGAGUGACGGUAAUGGGUAAAGAAGCACCGGCUAACUACGUG